Molecule: long non-coding RNA, 23299 nt
Filed under: Zea mays
Lineage: Eukaryota; Viridiplantae; Streptophyta; Magnoliopsida; Poales; Poaceae
Description: long non-coding RNA (ZMAY_LNC001734)
Source: RNAcentral
GCGAGGAGCCCGGCGCACUGGGACGACGCCGACAGGUUCAUGCCUGAAAGAUUUGAGCGCGACGAUAGCGCGGCAGGUUAUUCCAGGGCUACUACUGAUGGCACUACACAGUUUGAGUACCUGCCGUUUGGGCACGGGAGGAGGAUUUGCCCGGGCAUGGGCUUCGGCUUGUCCACCUUGGAGAUCCUAGUUGCGCGGCUCCUCUACUACUUUGACUGGAGCCUUCCGGAAGGAAUGCAGGUGGUGGACCUGGACAUGGACAUGACUGUCGGUGCGUCGGCCAGGAGGACCAACAAACUGCACCUAGUGGCCUCGCCGUAUCAAGUGCCCACGUAGAUUUCAUAUGAUGGUUGCAGUUUUGCAACCAAAAGUUGUGCCUCUUUUUCUUUUCCUGGCUUCUUUCCUAUCCUGCGGAAAUCAAAUAAGGCCUUGUUCGGUUAUCUCUUAAUCCAUGUGGAUUGAGUUGGAUUGGGUGGGUUUAAAUCCCAAACAAGUCAAAGUUCUUCUAAAUUUUUUCCAAUCCCGCUCAAUCCAUAUAUAAUGGGAAUAACCGAACAAGACCUAAACAGUUUACGUAUUCACUACCAACUCCAGCAGCCUCCGUAUCCAACUCUCCGGUACUACUAACUCCAACAGCCUCCGUAUCCAGCUCCCCAUCCCCAUUUUGCAUGUUCUAAAUUAUUGUCCAGCCGUCCAGCAGCCUCGCCCUGUUGAGCACUAAAUUUGGUACCUAGAAGACCGGACGGUCCACGUCUCGGACCAUUAGUAAUUAUAUUAAUUCAGACUCAAGUCCUUAUCCUUUAUGUGAUUAUCCUAAUAAAUCUCACAGAAAGUUGUUGAAACUAUCUAGAUACGAGUAUAUAUAUAUAUACUCCCUCCAGUGCAGUAAAGGUAGUCAUUUAGGAUAUGAUUGUGCAUACCAAGGAGUGAUUAAUUAUCAUAGAGUUUUCCCUGUUUGCCCCUAGUAAAUAGGGAUAUGGGUGCAUUAACAUCACUAAAACAAUCAAGCUUGAUUGGUUGCUGCAGCAGCUCCAAAGCAUUCUAGACUGGAGGUCUCAAGUUCGAUUCCUCUUAAAUGCAUCUUUUUUGUGCAAUUACUAGGGGCAACAACGUCCAAAUCCCAGACCCACGCGCACUAUGACUUCUUUUUGUGCACGCUCGGUCACGCGCAGGAUGACUUCUUUUACUGCACCGGAGGGAGUAUAUAUAUAUAUAUUACAUCUUAGUGCAUUCAAUAUAGAGAAUGCACCUAGGUCGAACCUACGCGCCAGAAGCACCUGGUCCGAGCCAACCGUCCCACCCAGGCCGAACCGACGCGCAGGCCCUGACAACUUCAGUCUACACCAAGACCAGCAGUUGCGAUCAUUGUUUUGUUUAACAAAUUUUUGGACAUAGUUAUAUAGAAGUUGCAAUCACACCAGACCAGCAGUUGCAAUCAUUGUUUCUUUAACAGAUUUUUGGACAUAGUUAUAUAAAAGUUGCAAUCACACCAGACCAGCAGUUGCAACCAGACCAGCAAUUGCAAUCAUAUUUUUUAACAAAAUUUCCCAGAGUUAUUCAAUAUAGAGAAUGCACUCAGGCCGAACCUACGCGCCAGGAGCACCUGGUCCGAGCCAACCGCCCCACCCAGGCCGAACCGACGCUUCGUCUUCGUCCCUCCCGCACGCUCCCGACAGAACCUUUUCACUUCCCCGCCCCCGCCCCUCUUUCUCCGCGAACGGCUCCUCCGUGAACGGCUCAACCUCUUCACUUCCCCGGCGACGUAGCCCGCGCCAGAGCCGUUGCGCGCACGCCCGCGCUCGUCUUCGUCCCUCCCGCACGCUCCCGACAGAACCUCUUCACUUCCCCGCCCCCGCCCCACUUCUCCGCGAACGGCUCCCGACAGAACCUCUUCACUUCCCCGGCGACGUAGCCCGCGCCGGAGCCAUUGCGCGCGUGCUCGCGCCCCGCGCGCCCGGGGCCGCCGUGCAAGCGCAUCCGCCCCCUCUCCCGUUUCUCUGUCAUUUGAUCGUUUUCUAGGUAAGAGCGUAACUGCUUCCACCCAAAUUUUUUAGUGUUAUUCUGAUGCGGAGUAUAUGUUGAUAAUGAGGUUAUCAUAUUAUGUGUAACUGUCCAUUAACCUUGUUGCAAUUUGGAGGACCCGAUUUAAGUACAUUGAUUUUGUUGGAUUUGUUUUGUUAUCUUCGGUAAUAGACUGGUAAUCCCCAUUUUUUCCCAAGUGUUGCAACUAGUAUUAUCCGUUGAUUGCAAUUAGUAAUUGUUGUAUUUUGUGCGGAUACAUUUCAUUUUAAUAAGCAUUUUGUGUUCUAGAUUAUCAACUCAGAUGUUUCCACUUUUUGCAACUGCAGUGUACCUUUUUUUGCAACUGUAUAAUUUUAAUUUUCAACCCACAGACAUCAUUCCUGUCUUUUGCAACUGUGCUCAUAUACAACUAGUUAUUGGUUUAAAUUCACUGUUGCAACUGUCCCAGUAGUAAUUAUUUUAGCAGUCUUGUUGCAACUGGCUUAUGGCACAUGUGGCAAUUCUGUACACUUUUGAAUUUUUUUCAUUAUCUGGAAUUCAACCACACACACUAAUGUGUGUUGCAGCAUUAGUGUGUAUUGCAACUAUUUUUUUUCCUAUUUGUACUGUGUGUUUUAGUUUGUUGAUUAGCAAUUUUUGGUUAUGAGAUCUGUACCAUGUGCUUGUGCCCUCACGUUUUUUUAUUCCCAUUUUUUUAGUGGUUUUUAUAAUGGAUCAAGAACAGAAUGUCAUAGGCCAGCAAGGCGCUGACACUGUCCGUCGCUCUCCUCAUGUACAAAACAAGAGAAAGGAAUUAGAUAAAAAUGAAUUGAAGAAAAGGAGGAAGAGGUUAAGGUUGAAAGUCCCCUUGUCUCCUAUUCAAGAUGAAGAAAGUGAUGAUGAACAAGACCCAGAGUUUGCUCCUGCCGGUGAUGGUUCUGGCGACGUCAAUGUUGUUAUUGUUGGUGGCGAUGAGAAUAAGGGUAAAAAUAAGACACGAGCUAUACGAUGCUCACCUGGGAAGUUCAUAAAGCUUGUGAAUGCUCUCUCCGAUGAAUUGAAAGGUGAAGUAGUUGCCAAGGGGUUUGGCGGCCUGCUGAGAUUCAAGCUGCACUUAUUGUCCAGAAAAUUGCUCAGCUGGCUGAUGCGGAAGCUUAACUCAGAGACGAUGAAAUUAGAGAUUGGUGGUGGAAAAGAGAUUCCAAUCACUGAGCACAAUGUUUGGUGUGUUUUGCUGUUACCAAACGUUGGCCGUGACCCGCCCCCCAUGUCUGAUGCAGAUGCUCGUGCCUUGCGGGACGAGCUGGGAGAGAAAAUUUGUGGCAACUCUUAUAGACGCAGAUCUGGUAUCAAUCUAUCUGUUAUCACUGAUCGGCUGCAGAAGAGGAUUCUCACUGGGGAGCUGGGCCUGAGAGCCUUUUUCAUGGCUGCAUUUCAGUGUCUGCUAUUAUCCAACACUGACACUCGCAUCAGGAUUGAUGAUGUAAAGUAUACUCAGGACAUCCAGAACAUGGCCAACAAGAACUGGUGCAAAGCGGUAGUUGACAGGCUCAGCAUAGCUGCUCGUCUUUAUAAAAAGGAUUUUGCGGAGAAAGGCAUCAAUGCACCCAUCAGUGGAUGCGGGAUCUUCGUAGCUGUAAGCUCAACGCACACAUUCAAUUUUUGCCCUUGCAACUUACUCUUCCAAUUACACAAGUAGUAAUUGUUUUAUGUUUACUGUUACAACUGUCAUAUGUUACAAGUUGCAAUUUGAUUUACUUUUUUGAUUUUUUUAUGAUAGCUUAGUUCACACAUUCACAUAUAUUUUGUAAUUUAUGUUGUACACAAAGUAGCAAUAAUUUUAGUAUUUUCUAUUGCAACUGGCUUAUUGCACCUGUGCCAAUUCGGUUUACUUUUUUCAUUAUCUGAAUUCAACCUAAAAUACCCACGUGUCUUUUACCUAAUGUUAAAAACAUACCGAUGCUUUAUGUCGACAACCUACAGCAUGGAUUUGACACAAGUCCCUUUUUGAUCCCUUGAUGUGCUUUCUUGGACUCGAAGACGAUUGAUGCGAUAGUGAAAGGGAAUUAGGCUUACACCUAUUUCCUAAAUUGAUUUUGGUGGUUGAAUUGCCCAACACAAAUAAUUGGACUAACUAGUUUGCUCUAGUGUAUAAGUUAUACAUGUGCCAAAGGUUCACACUUAGCCAAUAAAAAGACCAAGAAUUGGAUUCAACAAGGAGAGCAAAGGGAUAACCGAAGUGUGCCCUGGUCUGGCGCACGGACUGUCCGGUGCACCACCGGACAGUGUCCGGUGCACCAGGGGACUUCACGCUGAACUCCUCACCUUCGGGAAAAUCCAGAGGCGCUCCGCUAUAAUUCACCGGACUGUCCGGUGCCCCAGGGAAGAGCGACUCUGGAACUCGCCAGCUUCGGGAAUUCGCUCCGCUAUAAUUCACCGGACAUGUCCGGUGCACACCGGACUGUCCGGUGAGCCAGCGGGGCAACGACUACUUCGCGCCAACGGUCACCUGCAGAGGCAUUAAAUGCGCGCCAGAGCGCGCAGAAGUCAGGCACACGCGAAGUGGCGCACCGGACACUCUACAGUGCAUGUCCGGUGUGCCACCGGACAUCCAGGCGGGCCCAGCAGUCAGAGCUCCAACGGUCGGAACCCAAUGGCCUGGUGACGUGGCUGGCGCACCGGACACUGUCCGGUGCACCAUGCGACAGACAGCCUCCACCAAACGGCUAGUUUGGUGGUUGGGGUUAUAAAUACCCCCAACCACCCCACAUUCAAGUCAUCCAAGUUUUCCUACUUCAACUACUUACAAGAGCUCUAGCAUUCAAUUCUAGACACACCCAAGUGAUCAAAUCCUCCCCAAAUUCCACACAACUCCUUAGUGAUUAGUGAGAGAGAUUUGCUUGUGUUCUUUCGAGCUCUUGCGCUUGGAUUGCUUUCUUCUUUGAUUCCUUCUUGCGAUCAACUCAAUUGUAACCAAGGCAAGAGGCACCAAUUGUGUGGUGGCCCUUGCGGGGAAGUUUUGUUCCUGUUUAAUUGAGAAGAAGAAGCUCACUCGGUCCAAGGGACCGUUUGAGAGAGGGAAAGGGUUGAAAGAGACCCGGUCUUUGUGACCACCUCAACGGGGAGUAGGUUUGCAAGAACCUAACCUCGGUAAAACAAAUCCGCGUGUCACACUCCUUAUUCGCUUGCGAUUUGUUUUGCACCCUCUCUCGCGGACUUGAUUAUAUUUCUAACGCUAACCCGGCUUGUAGUUGUGAUUAACUUUGUAAAUUUUAGUUUCGCCCUAUUCACCCCCCCUCUAGGCGACUUUCAAUUGGUAUCAAAGCCCGGUGCUUCAUUAGAGCCUAACCGCUCGAAGUGAUGUCGGGAGAACACGCCAAGAAGGAGAUGGAGACCGGCGACAAGCCCGCUACAAGCCACGGGAAAGCUUCAUCGGAAGAGUCCCGCAAAAAGGGAAAGGGGAAGGAGAAGAAAGCUUCUUCCCACAAGUCGCAUCGGAGUGGGGACAAGAAAAAGAAGAUGAGGAAGGUGGUCUACUACGAGACCGACACCUCAUCGCCAUCUACCUCCGGCUCCGACGCGCCCUCCGUAACUUCCAAGCGCCAUGAGCGCAAGAAGUUUAGUAAGAUCCCCUUACACUAUCCUCGUACUUCUAGACAUACUCCAUUACUUUCGGUUCCAUUAGGCAAACCACCAACCUUUGACGGUGAAGAUUAUGCUAGGUGGAGUGAUUUAAUGAAAUAUCACCUAACCUCACUGAAAGGGAAUUAGGCUUACACCUAGUCCCUAAUUAAUUUUGGUGGUUGAAUUUCCCAACACAAAUAAUUGGACUAACUAGUUUGCCCAAGUGUAUAGAUUAUACAGGUAUAAAAGGUUCACACUCAGCCAAUAAAAAGAUCAAGUUUUGGAUUCAACAAAGGAGCAAAGAGGCAACCGAAGGCACCUCUGGUCUGGAGGCACCGGACUAUCCGGUGUACACCGGACAGUGUCCGGUGCACCAGAGGACUCCAACUCGAACUCGCUACCUUCGGGAAUUUCUCAGGCCAGCGCGCUAUAAUUCACCGGACUGUCCGGUGUACACCGGACAGUGUCCGGUGCGCCAAGGAAGAGCGGCCUCAGGAACUCGCCGGCUUCGGGAAUCUCCAACGGCUAGUCCGCUAUAAUUCACCGGACAUGUCCGGUGUGCACCGGACUGUCCGGUGCAACUCCGGAGCAACGGCUAUUCGGCGCCAACGGCUACCUGCGACGCAUUUAUUGCGCGCUCUGCACGCGCAGAAGACAGGCGCGCCCAUACUGGCGCACCGGACAAGGAACAGUGCAUGUCCGGUGUGCACUGGACAUCCAGGCGGGCCUACAAGUCAGGAGCUCCAACGGUCAUAAUCCAACGGCCGUGAUGACGUGGUGGGGUGUCACACCCGGUUUUUAGAAGGCAAACCGAAUGCGAACCAUGUACGUGCCAGGAUCAGUUAUUCACGUACACAGCAGUUACAUAAUAUGGACAUCAUCACACAGUGCUCAAAAUAGUAUUAAUAAGGGAAAUAGUCGAUUACAUCAUACGUCUGAGACGUCCAUAUAGUUCUUACAAUAAAUCAAAGUGCGGAAAAGAAACGUAGAUAACACGGCCUUCACAGGCAGCCGACUGGGGGUUGCCGCUAACCCACACCUAGAACUCGUCGUAAUCUUGGAACUCCUGGAAGUCUCCUUCCACAGCUUCAUCUUCGCCUGAGCAGUGGUUGCAAUGCUGACAACCUGGGGGGGGGUUUGGUGUGUAGAGCAAGGGUGAGUACACAUCAACAUACUCAGCAAGUAUCCUGUUUGGCUGUAGUGGACUAGCUUUAUGUGGGGAUAAGUCAAGCAGUUGCUUUUAGUUGGUCAGAUUAUUAUUUACUAGUAGAAAGCCAAGUUUUAGCAUUAACCCAAGUUAUUAACCCGAUGUAUCCUUUCCAAACGGAAAGAAUACCACUUACCAGCACCAUAAUCAUAACCAGAACCAUCAAUCUCAUAACCACCUGUACCACAAUGUCUCUGAUCAAGUAUCACUAAUCUCUGGAGCUCCCUUGGCCGCUCAUAACCGCGAGCACGGCUGAUAUAUCAGUUUCAUAACACUCUGCAGAGGUUGUGCACUUUACCCACAAGCCGUGAUUCCCUCUCUAGCCCGGGCUUGCAAGACCCUUAUUCACUCCCGAGGUGAAUGGCCAGGGAUUCACUACGAAGCCUUUACAAAGAUUCCCCGGGGCUGUAGCCACCCGUUAGGUUUCCUAAAUGCACCGCACUCCUCCCCAAGGGGCGAACCCAAACUUGGCAGAGCGAGCCGCAUACACCGAGCCCCAUUGACGGCACGACGGCUAAGUGAACUACACCCCGGAUCCUCUAAUUAUUCAGCUAAGGGCACCCCAUUCCACCCUCAUGGUUGCACUGUUUUCCCGGGCGGUCAUCCAUAGAACAGGUCCUUACGGAGAGGCACUCGAGAAACCGCUCGAGUCCCCUUGAAAACCACAAGUAUAAUCAUAAAGAAGAACGGGAAAACAGCGUAUCAUAGAUAAUCACAUCAUGUUCAUUGAUUAGAGUUGAGCAAUAGCAUCAGUCUAAGUAGUAAUAAUCCGACCCAAAUAGGUAAACAAGGACAUGGAUAACAAAAGCUAGUCAAUCCUUAGGUAUAAAUGUGUAAUGCGGGAGGUGAAUUAAAGAAUGAAUAGGACAUAGAUAGGUCAAAGGACACUUGCCUCCACCAAACGACUGCUGCUCAGGGGCUUCUCCUGCGAAUUCCUCGGGCUCUUCGACCGGAUCGUUCUCUAUGCGAGCGCAAACGUACAUACAUACAUCCACAUAUUUAAUACAAAAGAACAGUACACCAUACAAGAUAACCAAAUAAGCGAAUAUGCAUCAAGUAUGACAUUCGAUAACGCAUUUGUUAUGGUUAGAAAGAAACGGGAAAGGUCUCGCAGGGGGGGUUAAAUCUUAUGCACUAAUGACACAAUUGGUUUUUAACAAAAUAAUUCUGUUAUACAUAUUUAUAUAUACUAAUGGAAACCUAAUCACUUUUAGUUGAUCAACAUUGCACAGGGUAAACAAUUAACUACGUGAAUCAAUAACAUAACGGAAUUUUAAAUUAAACUUCCUAUUUUCUCAUAGCAUAAACAGUGAUUAGCCUACUUAAAAUACAGUAAUUAUGAUCACAGAAAGUAAAUAAAAUAAAAUAAAAAAAAAAAUAAAAAAAACAGAGGGGAGGGGGCGGUUGAACCGGCCCUAGGGCGGUUGAACCGGCCCGGGGGCAGGCGGCCGAGCUGGGGCGGCCGAGCGCGGGGGCGGCCGAGCUGGGGGGGGGGGGCGGGGCGGCUGAGCCGGGGCCGAGGCCGGCUGAACCGGCCCGGGACAGGGGGGCGCGGCCAGGGGGCCAGGGCGGGCGGCGGGCGCGGUCAGGGGGCCGAGCGGCGCGGGCGCGGCCAGGGGGCCGAGCGGCGCGGGGCUGGGGGCGGCCGGGCGGCCGGGCGGCGCGGCCAAGGGCCAGCGGCCAAGGGGAGAAGGAGGGGAGGGGGAAGGAGAGAGGAGGGAGAAGGGGGAGGGGAGGGGGCUCACCGGCGAGGGGGGUGGCCGACGGCGAGGGCGCGCAGCCGGGGUCGGGGCAGCGACGACGGCUAGGGCAGGGAGGUGGGUGGGGGCGGCGGCUUGGGUGGGGAGGGAGAGAGGGAGAGAAUGAGGGAGAGGGAGAGGGGAUUUGGGGAAAAAGAGGGGGGGGGUGGGGGGCGGCUGGGCCUGCUUUGGGCCCAAGAGGGGGGCGCGCAGGGGCCUGGGCCGGCCGGGGUCGGCCCACGGCGCGGGAAAGAGAGAAAAAGAGGAGAGAGAAAGAGAGAGAGAAAGAAAGAAAAGAUCUUCUCCUCAUUUUCGAAAUCCGAUCUUUCUACAUGCAUGCAUUUGCGCUUUCAAAGCAAUCAAAAGAAAUGCAAGGUUCGGCAUGGUGCAUCAAGCAACAUAAAGCAUUUAGGGUUUUUAUACGUACGGGAAUUCCAAACCGAAUCCCGCUAGAACUUUGGAAAAGGUCAAGGUUUAGCGAGGGAAAAAGAAAAGGAAAAGGUAACGCCCGAAUUUUGGCGAGUAAAGAAAAGAAAAAAUUCAACUGCAAAAUUCGGGGCGUUACAAACCUAUCCCCCUUAAAAGAAUCUCGCCCUCGAGAUUCAGGGCUGGCUAGCAAAGAGCUCCGGGUACUUGGCCAUCAGAUCAUCUUCACGCUCCCAGGUUGCUUCUUCCUCAGAGUGGUGACUCCAUCUGACUUUGCACAUUCUGACGGUCUUCCUUCGGGUGACUCUAUCUGUAACCUCAAGGAUCUGAGCUGGCUUCUCAACAUAGGUCAAGUCCUCCUGGACUUCCAGACCUUCCACUGGCAACUGCUCUUCUGGCACACGCAAGCACUUCUUUAACUGAGACACAUGAAAGACAUUAUGCACAGCAGACAAACUCUCUGGCAAACUGAGCUGAUAAGCCACUUCUCCUCGUCUUGCAAGAAUCUGAUACGGACCAAUGUAGCGGGGUGCUAGCUUGCCUUUCACUCCGAACCUUCUGACUCCUCUGAUCGGUGACACUUUCAGAUAGACAAAGUCUCCGACUUCGAAACUCAGCUCUCUUCUUCUUGUGUCUGCAUAGCUUCGCUGCCUUGAUUGCGCUAUCUUCAGAUUCUCUCGGACCAUCUUGAUGUUCUCUUCGGCUUCGAGCAAAAUGUCUGGCCCAAACACUUGCUUUUCUCCAGGCUGAUCCCAUUGCAACGGAGUUCUGCAACUCCUUCCAUACAGCGCUUGAAACGGUGACAUCUUCAAACUGGCCUGGUAACUGUUGUUAUAGGAAAACUCCGCAUAAGGCAAUCGCUUGUCCCAUCCGGACUGAUCUUGCAACGCACAGGCUCUCAACAUAUCUUCAAGAAUUUGAUUGGUUCUUUCAGUCUGACCAUCUGUCUGCGGGUGAUAAGCUGAACUGAAAUUCAGAUGCGUGCCCAAGGCUUCAUGCAACUGCUGCCAGAAAUGAGAGGUGAACUGCGUUCCUCUGUCUGACACUAUCUUCUUUGGCACACCAUGAAGACAAACGAUCCGAGACAUAUACAAUUCUGCCAAUACUGCACUGUUGUAAUUGGUCUUGACAGGUAUGAAGUGGGCUGACUUGGUCAAGCGGUCCACUACUACCCAAAUGGAAUCGUAGCCGGCUCGAGUGCGAGGCAAUCCGACUAUGAAAUCCAUACCAAUUUCAUCCCAUUUCCACUGAGGGAUCUGCAACGGUUGCAACAAUCCAGCUGGUCUCUGGUGUUCUGCCUUAAUUCUUCGACAACUAUCGCACAUAGCCACAUGCUCUGUGAUUUCUCUUUUCAUUCCGUACCACCAGAAUUUCUUCUUCAGAUCCUGAUACAUCUUCUCACUACCAGGGUGGAUCGAAUAAGCUGUCUCAUGAGCUUCCUUAAGAAUCAACUCCCGAAUAGACUGGACAUUGGGAACACAUAAGCGGUCUUUGAACCAUACCACUCCUUCUGCAUCUUCUCGAAAAUCUUUACCUUUGCCUUCUAGAAUCAAUCGCCGAAUCUCACUGAUCUUCUCAUCAUUCUUCUGCGCUUCUUUGAUUUCGCGCUCCAAGGUAGGUUCCAAUUCAACUGUGACUCCUCGAGAAUUGUUCAGAAAUCCGAGACUCAACCUGUCAAACUCUUUGGCCAACUCAUAAGGCAUCGGACGAGCGACCAUCAGAUUGACUUGACUCUUUCUGCUCAGAGCAUCUGCCACUACGUUUGCUUUGCCUGGAUGGUAAUGAAUCUCCAACUCAUAGUCUUUGAUCAAUUCUAACCAUCUUCGUUGCCUCAUGUUCAAUUCUGACUGAGUGAAUAUGUACUUCAGACUCUUGUGAUCUGUGUAAACAUCGCAUUUCUGUCCAUACAGGUAGUGCCUCCAUGUCUUCAGUGCGUGAACCACUGCUGCCAACUCUAGAUCAUGGAUUGGGUAGUUCUUCUCAUGAACCUUCAGCUGUCGGGACGAGUAAGCCACAACUCUUCCCUCUUGCAUCAACACACAUCCCAAACCUGUGUAACAAGCAUCGCAAUACACCGAGAAGGGCUUGUGCACAUCAGGCAAGACUAGGACAGGCGCUGUUGUCAACUUCUCUUUCAGCGCUUCAAAGGCCUCUUGGCAUUUCUGGGUCCACUUGAACUCAACCUUGUUGCCUAGCAACGCUGUCAUUGGCUUCGCAAUCUUCGAAAACCCUUCAAUGAAUCGCCGAUAAUAUCCGGCCAUUCCAAUGAAGCUCUUGAUUCCUCUAGCAUCUGUUGGCGCUUUCCAGUUUAGAAUGUCUGCCACUUUCUUCGGAUCCACAGCCAAUCCUUCUUUGUUGAUUAUGUGACCCAAGAACAGGACUUCACUGAUCCAGAACUCACACUUGCUCAACUUUGCAUACAACUGGUGCUCUCGCAAUCUCUGCAAUACCAUCCUCAAAUGAUCUGCAUGCUCUUCUUCACUUUGAGAAUAAACCAGAAUAUCAUCAAUGAAUACCACCACAAACUUAUCAAGGUAAUCCAUGAAUACACUGUUCAUCAAGUUCAUGAAGAAUGCUGGCGCAUUGGUCAAACCAAAAGACAUCACUGUGAACUCAUAUAAACCAUACUUGGUAAUGAAUGCCGUCUUCGGAAUGUCCGAAGGUCGGAUCCUGAGCUGAUGAUAACCUGACCUCAGAUCAAUCUUGGAGAACACACUGGCUCUUCUCAACUGGUCGAACAGAUCUUCUAUUCUGGGCAAAGGAUACUUGUUCUUGAUCGUGACCUCAUUCAAAGCUCGAUAAUCGAUACACAUCCUCUUGGUGCCAUCUUUCUUCUCCACGAACAAGACAGGGGCGGCCCAAGGCGAGGUGCUUGGCCGGAUGUAACCUUUCUCUGACAGCUCAUCAAUCUGCUUCUUAAGCUCAACCAACUCUGGUCCAGAUAUUCUGUAAGCUCUCUUGAAGAUAGGGGCGGUUCCAGGAAGAAGCUCUAUAGCAAACUCAACUUUUCGCUCUGGUGGCAUACCCGGUAAAUCCUUUGGAAACACAUCUGGGAAUUCAGACACAACCUUGAUACUCUCAAUUGGGUCUGCUUCACUGCUAUCGACAGCCAUCUGAUAACAACUUCCUUUCUUUGGCUCAGGCGGGACUAACUCGGUCACCACUUCCUCUCCUAGUGGGACACCAACUUGAUUGUCCUUUUAUCACAACUGAUAACUGCCUGAUACUUAUCUAGCCAAUUCAUCCCUAGGAUGACAUCUAUUCCCUGAGUACCCAUUACUAUAAGGUUGGCGGGAAACGCUAUCCCCUUAUUUCCACACUUACAUUUAAACAAAUGCUAUCAGCUCGAAUUCUACCACCGGCUGAGUCGAUUUGAAUGGGGGUUAACAUGGUAGUAGUUGGAAGAUUAUGUGCUUCUACCCAUAAUGCAGUAAUGAAAGAAUGUGUUGCUCCAGUAUCAAAUAACACUUCUGCAAUAUGGGAGUCGACUGGGAACAUACCUACUAUCAUGUCGGGGGUCUCCUGAACUGCUUCAGCUUCCAAGUGGUUCAGUCUUCCAUGAUUAUAGCGCUGCUGAGAGCGGUUGCCUACUCCAGACUGAGACACAUUCUGCUUUGCUGGGGCAUUGGGGCCUGACUGCUGCUGGGCUGCCUUCUUCGGACAUUGCAUCACCCAAUGGCCUGCUCUCCACAGUGGAAACACGCCCUGUUUCCAACCUGAGCUGGUGCUGCCUGACUGUUCUGCUGAUUUGUUGGGGCAGGAAGACGAGGUGCUUGCUGAUUCUGCUUCUGAAACUGACCUCCUGACUGAUUGCUCUGACGGUUCUGGUACUGAUGCUGAGGAUACUGCCUUUGGAACUGCUGAUACUGCUGACGCUGCUGAUGCUGCUGAGGUGGACGCUGGUUCUGCCUGAACUGCUGAGGUUGAUUGCCUGAGAAACGGGGACGGCUGCUGCUUCCAGGCUGGGGUCCACUGAUCUUGCGCUUACGAUCUUCCAUCUCCUUGCGCUUCCUUUCUGUCAUGAUUGCUCUGUCAAUCAGGUGCUGGAAUGUCGGGAAGGUGUGGUUCAUCAGCUGAUACUGCAGAGGGUCAACCAAGCCUCUCAGGAAACGGUACUGUCGCUUGGCGUCGGUGUUGACAUCUUCAGGAGCAUAGCGAGACAAUUGCAGAAACUUGUCUCGAUACUCACUGACAGACGAUGACCCUUGCUUAAGGGCCAGGAACUCCUCCUUCUUCACUGUCAUCAGACCUGCAGGCACAUGGUACUGACGAAAGCUACCUCGGAAUUCUUCCCAAGUGAUGGUGUCGGGGUUGGCAUGGGUGGCGAGGUAAGACUCCCACCAUGACUGGGCUGCUCCUCUCAACAGACGGGGACCAUACAAGACUUUCUCCCGGUCAUCGCACUUAGCGGUAUGCAACUCCCGCUCCACAGUGCGCAGCCAAUCUUCAGCAUCCAUGGGGUCAGAAGAGUGAGCAACGUUGGUGGAUGACCUCUCAUGAAUUCAGCACGCUUGUCUCUAGGCAUCUGAGGCAUCUGAGGCUGGGGUGGUGCUUGCUGCUGUUGCUGCUGCUGCUGCUGAAUGGCGGCCAGAGUCUGACCGAUGGCUUGAACUGCCUGAGUCUGCAUCAGAAACAUCUGCUCAAUCGACAUCGGGGGCGGGGGCGGCAGGUGCUGCUGCUGGGGCACCUCAUCCUGCGGAGCGGCUCGCUCCUGCUGAGCACGCCUUCCUCCUCUACGCCUGUUCUCUGACAUCUGCAGAACGCAACCAUACAUCAGAACUGAUCUGGCAAAGCUUGCAGCAUAAGAAAAGAGUAUAGAAUUCUCCAACAGCACUGAACAGAUGAGCAUCUUCACUGAUCUCCAACACAGACCACACAGCUUCUCAGAUAAAGAGGAAAGGAGAAUAAUGGGUUUCCCAACUAUAUAACUAACUUUAUUGACAUAGUAUGUAAACCAAAAUGCAGGGGAUACCCACACUCUGGUGACAAUCAUUACAAAGAUCCAAACCAAACAUAGUUCAUCAUGACAAACAUAAAUGCACAGGAUAUAGCAAACUACCCUGUCUAACUAAGACUGACUAAGAUCGAGACUAACGCUAAGACUGAAGCUUCCAUGUAUAUAUAUUUCGUAUUAAUUACAAGAUCCAACUCUAACGACUAUGGUUCCAGAUUUAUCUUGGUCUUGCAGGCGGGAUUGCCAUAAGACUGGUGUCCACGCUGAGGUGAGCGGUACGGGUGCUGAGUCCCAACGGGAGCGGGGGAACCACCGUCCAGAAAACGACGUUCCGCGCGCUCAGCCCGCAGCAGGGCGAUCUCAGCACGAGCCCUACUCAGCUCGUCUAAUGCAUGGUCCAGCUCCGUGUUUAGCACGGCGGCUAGGUUGACUGUGCUGCUCAACCUAGGAUUGCCCUCACCGACAGGUGAAACAAUCACGCCUCCUGUGCUGCCAGAUGACGGCGGGGGUAAUACUUCAGGUCAAGACCAUCAGCUGCCCCACCGAAAACCGAGCAGUAGUGCGAAAGCGCACGCCGUGCAGCAUCUUGCAUGGCUGCCUCAGCUGAGUCCCGUCAGAGAUAGAAUAGUGCUCUGAACAGGCCUCUGCACCCUGGAGACUGUCCUCCGGGCAGCGCACCAAGCAAGUGCCUCCCAGCGGUCCGGGUAGACCCCGCGACUAUGCUGGUAGACCACACAGCGAUACUCGACAGACCAAGUAUGCCGGUCAAAUGCCCGACGUAGCAGGGUGUCGAGCGCAUCGUGGAAGUGACACCCGCGAGCAGCGUCGCGAGUGAUGGGUCGAGCAACCCAUCCUUCCGGCUCAGGGUUAGCAGAGAAGUCGGUGUCGUGGCUCGAGCUGUCGUCGCCAUCUCCGUCGUCUGGGUCUCCUCCAGCAGCUACUCCAGAAGCUGGGGCGCCCAGUGGUGGUGCAGGGGGCGGCUCCAGAGGAAGCACAGGGGAGUAGCUCCUCACAGACUCUAUCUCCUGGUGGAGCGAGAGGGAAGAGCUCUGCUGCUCCUGUCGUCGACGUCCUGCUCCUCACGCAGGCGGUGGUGUAGUCUCUCCAAGUGGCUGGACUGUCCGGCCACGGGACGGCGAAGCGGACGCUCAGCAAGGCGGGAGGGUAAGAAGGGGAUGACUGACUUUCGUGCAGUGUGUCUAAGUCGAGCCAUCUACAAAAGACAUCGCAAGCAAAAGGGUGAGAACAGAAUUAAUAUGACCAGCAAGUAAUGAAUCAUAAAUAAAUGAAGGAUCAGAAUAAAACAUGAUUUUCAGCAAGGUAUAAUAUAUAGUAGAACAUAGGUUUGGUCAGUAGGACCAACUUUUGAAGGGAUAUCAAAGUCAAGGAAGAGACAGAGGUCUAUAAUCCUUAGAACGACCAUUCUACUCUAGGUUAGCGGUCCUACAGUCAGCACGGCUUUGAUACCACUUAUGUCACACCCGGUUUUAGAAGGCAAACCGAAUGCGAACCAUGUACGUGCCAGGAUCAGUUAUUCACGUACACAGCAGUUACAUAAUAUGGACAUCAUCACACAGUGCUCAAAAUAGUAUUAAUAAGGGAAAUAGUCGAUUACAUCAUACGUCUGAGACGUCCAUAUAGGUCUUACAAUAAAUCAAAGUGCGGAAAAGAAACGUAGAUAACGCGGCCUUCACAGGCAGCCGACUGGGGGUUGCCGCUAACCCACACCUAGAACUCGUCGUAAUCUUGGAACUCCUGGAAGUCUCCUUCCACAGCUUCAUCUUCGCCUGAGCAGUGGUUGCAAUGCUGACAACCUGGGGGGGGUUUGGUGUGUAGAGCAAGGGUGAGUACACAUCAACAUACUCAGCAAGUAUCCUGUUUGGCUGUAGUGGACUAGCUUUAUGUGGGGAUAAGUCAAGCAGUUGCUUUUAGUUGGUCAGAUUAUUAUUUACUAGUAGAAAGCCAAGUUUUAGCAUUACCCAAGUUAUUAACCCGAUGUACCCUUUCCAAACGGAAAGAAUACCACUUACCAGCACCAUAGUCAUAACCAAAACCAUCAAUCUCGUAACCACCUGUACCACAAUGUCUCUGAUCAAGUAUCACUAAUCUCUGGAGCUCCCUUGGCCGCUCAUAACCGCGAGCACGGCUGAUAUAUCAGUUUCAUAACACUCUGCAGAGGUUGUGCACUUUACCCACAAGCCGUGAUUCCCUCUCUGGCCCGGGCUUGCAAGACCCUUAUUCACUCCCGAGGUGAAUGGCCAGGGAUUCACUACGAAGCCUUUACAAAGAUUCCCCGGGGCUGUAGCCACCCGUUAGGUUUCCUAAAUGCACCGCACUCCUCCCCAAGGGGCGAACCCAAACUUGGCAGAGCGAGCCGCAUACACCGAGCCCCAUUGACGGCACGACGGCUAAGUGAACUACACCCCGGAUCCUCUAAUUAUUCAGCUAAGGGCACCCCAUUCCACCCUCAUGGUUGCACUGUUUUCCCGGGCGGUCAUCCAUAGAACAGGUCCUUACGGAGAGGCACUCGAGAAACCGCUCGAGUCCCCUUGAAAACCACAAGUAUAAUCAUAAAGAAGAACGGGAAAACAGCGUAUCAUAGAUAAUCACAUCAUGUUCAUUGAUUAGAGUUGAGCAAUAGCAUCAGACUAAGUAGUAAUAAUCCGACCCAAAUAGGUAAACAAGGACAUGGAUAACAAAAGCUAGUCAAUCCUUAGGUUUAAAUGUGUAAUGCGGGAGGUGAAUUAAAGAAUAAAUAGGACAGAGAUAGGUCAAAGGACACUUGCCUCCACCAACCGACUGCUGCUCAGGGGCUUCUCCUGCGAAUUCCUCGGGCUCUUCGACCGGAUCGUUCUCUAUGCGAGCGCAAACAUACAUACAUACAUCCACAUAUUUAAUACAAAAGAACAGUACACCAUACAAGAUAACAAAUAAAGCGAACAUGCAUCAAGUAUGACAUUCGAUAACGCAUUUGUUAUGGUUAGAAAGAAACGGGAAAGGUCUCGCAGGGGGUUAAAUCUUAUGCACUAAUGACACAAUUGGUUUUUAACAAAAUAAUUCUGUUAUACAUAUUUAUAUAUACUAAUGGAAACCUAAUCACUUUUAGUUGAUCAACAUUGCACAGGGUAAACAAUUAACUACGUGAAUCAAUAACAUAACGGAAUUUUAAAUUAAACUUCCUAUUUUCCCAUAGCAUGAACAGUGAUUAGCCUACUUAAAAUACAGUAAUUAUGAUCACAGAAAGUAAAUAAAAUAAAAUAAAAAUAAAAAAAAUAAAAAAAACAGAGGGGGGAGGCGGUUGAACCGGCCCGGGGGCAGGCGGCCGAGCUGGGGCGGCCGAGCGCGGGGGGCGGCCGAGCUGGGGCCGGGGCGGCUGAGCCGGGGCCGAGGCCGGCUGAACCGGCCCGGGACAGGGGGGGCGCGACCAGGGGCCAGGGCGGGCGGCGGGCGCGGCCAGGGGCCGAGCGGGCGGCGGACGCGGCCAGGGGGCCGAGCGGGCGGGGCUGGGGGCGGCCGGGUGGCCGGGCGGCGCGGCCAAGGGCCAGCGGCCAAGGGGAGAAGGAGGGGAGGGGGAAGGAGAGAGGAGGGAGAAGGGGGAGGGGAGGGGGCUCACCGGCGAGGGGGUGGCCGACGGCGAGGGCGCGCAGCCGGGGUCGGGGCAGCGGCGGCGGCUAGGGCAGGGAGGUGGGUGGGGGCGGCGGCUUGGGUGGGGAGGGAGAGAGGGAGAGAAUGAGGGAGAGGGAGAGGGGAUUUGGGGAAAAAGAGGGGGGGUGGGGGCGGCUGGGCCUGCUUUGGGCCCAAGAGGGGGGGCGCAAGGGGCGGCUGGGCCGGCCGGGGUCGGCCCAGGGCGCGGGAGAGAGAGAGAGGGGAGAGAGAAAGAGAGAGAGAAAAGAGAAAGAAAGAUCUUCUUCUCAUUUUCGAAAUCCGAUCUUUCUACAUGAAUGCAUUUGCACUUUCAAAGCAAUCAAAAGAAAUGCAAGGUUCGGCAUGAUGCAUCAAACAACAUAAAGCAUUUAGGGUUUUUAUACGUACGGGAAUUCCAAACCGAAUCCCGCUAGAACUUUGGAAAAGGUCAAGGUUUAGCGAGGGGAAAAAGAAAAGGGAAAGGUAACGCCCGAAUUUUGGCGAGUAAAGAAAAGAAAAAAUUCAACUGCAAAAAUUCGGGGCGUUACAUAAGCCCGGUCAUUUUAUUGCAAAAUGUCCACUAUCUAGUGACAGUGACAGGGGUGACGACAAGAAGGGGAGAAGAAAGGAGAAGAAGAGGUACUACAAGAAGAAGGGCGGCGAUGCCCAUGUUUGUCGCGAGUGGGACUCCGAUGAAUGCUCUAGCGACUCCUCCGACGACGAGGACGCCGCCAACAUCGCCGUCACCAAGGGACUUCUCUUCCCCAACGUCGGCCACAAGUGCCUCAUGGCAAAGGAUGGCAAAAAGAAAAAGGUUAAAUCUAAAUCCUCCACUAGAUACGAAUCCUCUAGCGAUGGUAAUGCUAGUGAUGAGGAAGAUAAUUUGUGUACUCUUUUUGCCAACUUAAACAUGCAACAAAAAGAGAAAUUAAAUGAAUUAAUUUGUGUCAUCCAUGAGAAGGAUGAUCUCUUAGACUCCCAAGAGGACUUCCUAAUCAAGGAAAACAAAAAGCAUGUUAAAGUUAAAAAUGCUUAUGCUCUAGAAGUUGAAAAAUGUGAAAAUUUAUCUAGUGAGCUAAGCACUUGCCAUGAGACAAUUGACAACCUUAGAAAUGAGAAUGCUAAUUGUUAGCUAAGGUUGAUUCUAUUGCUUAUAAUGUUUCAAUUCUUAAUCUUAGAAAUGAUAAUGAUAAUUUGCUUGCUAAGAUUGAAGAAUUGAACAUUUCUCUUACUAGCCUUAGAGAUGAAAAUGAAAAAUUGCUUGCUAAGGCUAAAGAUUUUGAUAUUUGCAAUGCUACCAUUUCCGACCUUAGAAGUAAAAAUGAUAUAUUGCAUGCUAAGGUUGUAGAAUUAAAAUCUUGCAAACCAUCUACAUCUACCGUUGAGCACACUACUAUUUGCACUAGAUGUAGAGAUGUUGAUAUNNNNNNNNNNNNNNNNNNNNNNNNNNNNNNNNNNNNNNNNNNNNNNNNNNNNNNNNNNNNNNNNNNNNNNNNNNNNNNNNNNNNNNNNNNNNNNNNNNNNAUCUCCAUCAGUGACCCAUUUGAUGGAAUCCCGUUGCUUCCAAUAAAUUUUUUGAAACUGAAGCAACUCAGCAGCCUUGUAUUCAAUAACUCACGGGAAAUUUCAUUCUUCAAUCUAAAGUCACGUGCUCUUCAAUAAUAUCAAUGAAUUCAAUAAUCAAUUAAUUUGUCUCACGUUUUGUCAAUUUUCGGCAGUUGAUCGCUGCCACUCUUUUAGGAUUUUCUAGUGAACUUGAAUUUUGCUGUUAAAUUCUUUCGCUUUGUCCAAAGGCUUGGCAGACCAGUCACGAAUUUUGAAAAACUGUCAUAAAUCAUCAAAUUGCAGCCAGAAAUUUCAAAUCUAAAGAUCUUGGGUUUGGGACCUUUGACUUGAAAGAAAUCAGGCAAGACACAUGAUCAGAAAUAUCCCUAGCAGCGUUGUUCGAGAGUGUCAGGGUAACACACCGACCAUUCUUGCGACAUGAAAACCAAUCGAGUCUCUUGAAGAAGGGCUCCUUGUUUGUUCGACCAAGUAAAGAAGAGCCAUGGAGGGGAAUUUCCAACAGGUCGAGCUGGCUGAUUGCCUCGUUAAAUUUCAGCAUCAAUAAUGUCCCCCAGCGAUAUUUCUAUUUUCAGGCCACGCGUAAGAUUAAAGUCCCCAACAAUCAACCAGCGCUUUUCCGAGGGCAUAUUAUAUUGGAGAACCAGUGAAGGAAUUCAAUUUCCAUUCGGAGAACCAGUGGGAUUCCCUUUUGCUCUUUGGAAUAAAGUGACAGGGAAGUUAGCCACUGUUGACCCUCAGCUACUUGGAUUAGAAUGACGCCAAGCAGCAUAUGACUUCAAACGAAAUAACUACUCGAUUGUUGAAAAAAGGCUACAUAAUCACUCUCAAAAAAUAUAAGCUAUAUGAAUCACAAAUCUGAAUCAACAUAGCAAGAUAAAAUUUAUCACAUAGAUAAUCUUAACCAAAAGGAAUCUCGAAACUGAUUAACCAUUGAUGACCAAAUCAUUUUAUGUUGCCAAAGUUUUUAACGGUGCACAUAAACUCGGUAAAUUCAGAAAAAUCAUCAUGACAUUAGCCCAUACAAUCAACAUUUUUGGGAGAUAAAUAGGAACAACAUUAGAACUUUCAUCAUCUACCAAACACUGUAAGAAACAUAAACAAAAACAACAUCCUAGGGCUUCCAUCGUUCACCAAGCACUCUGUAAGCAACACAAAAACAAAGAUGGUAUUAGAUUAAACAUCCCUCCCUUCCCUACCAUCAAGUGCACCAUCUCAGUGGCUGAUGAAUACAGAAUACAAACUGAAAUUGAAUACAAUACACAAACUGAAAUUGGUAAUGUUGAAUACAUAAUGCAAACUGAAAGUGACAUGGAUACACUAGCUGACCUACUUUUGCAUACAGGGUGUGCUGAAACUGAAUUGGUAAUUUAUGGUGAAUUAUACAGGAGUGUUGCAUACAACUGGGGUUAUAUGGUCUACCCUGCUACAACAUUUAAGCAUGCAUUGACUACAAGCCAGCAAAUAUAUACAUAGAGCUGCAUAUAACAGUAACAUGAAGGGAACAAUUUAGCACAAUAAAGCCUACCUAAGGAGCAUGAUCCUAGCAGCAGCUCUUCACUAAUUUGUAUAGAAGGAAACAAUAAAAAAAGUCAAAAAAUAAUAUAGUUUCCUUUCCAAUCAGCAAGCAUGGAGUUAUGGAGAUCAAACUAAUCCCAGGAACAUCAUAUGGAUGUAUUCCUUGAUCUAUACACAAAGUAUCAUGUAGCAGAUUGAAGCAAAGGAUUUUAUUUUAUCGAGAAAGAGAGCACCUGAUAAGAACAUAUACAUGGUGAGUCUUCCUAUUCUCGGUAUUGAGAGUGGAACAAUUUUUAUACUUUCAGCAGUAUAAACUAAGGGCCUAUUUAGAUAGCUUGAACUAAUUAUUUGCAUGGUUAAUGGACACCUAAUUCUGCUACCUGAUUCUACUAUUCCAUAUGAGUAUGAAAGCGGGUUCUGUCUGUACUAGAGUUCUAUUGUUAGAGCUAGCUAGACUAGAUAAUAUAGAAAGGCUCACAGUACAAUUUCCAACUCAUGAAUGUAUUGAGAAACAAUUCUUGAUAAUAGAAAAAUAUACUAUUAUGUGAGAAUAAACUUAGACAUACAUUUUGCAACUUCAACAAUGUAUUUCUCUGCAGGUAAGCUCUGAAAGUUUCAACUUUUUUAUAUCACUGCAAGACAAAAAUCAAAUAGUUAGGUUUAGAUCAGCUAACAUGAACAGGCAAGAAACUAGUCUUUGAAUAUUAAACCAUCCUAUUGGCAUUUAUAAAUGAAUGGCCUGAUAUGACUCACGGUACAUACUAGAGUACAAAUAAUGUAGCUGUGUCUUUCUAGGUACUGAAGCUCACCAGUCCCCAACAAAAAUUCCUGACAACUGUAAUCCAUUCUAGGACUAGUAGAUGCAGAGUCACUUGCUCAUAGCACCUCACACCUGCCAAUCAAACCAAACGAAUUGAGGCCACAGCAGAGCAAACAACCCAUUGAAUCCUACAGUAAAAGAGUAAAGAGUGAGGGUCCCUCUUCGUCCCAAAUCUGCAGACACAUAUAUAUCCAACUUAUGUUUCUCUAUUUCUCCAGGCCGGAUCAUGGAUCUAACAAGCAAACCAUGCCUUCUUAUCCGGUCUGAUACUGAUCCUUGUGUCACUUGUUGCUCACAAGCCAGAACAAGCAGAUCCAUGAAGAGGAGGCCUCCUGGUCCACGGGCGCUCCCCUUCAUCGGAUGCAUCCACCACGUGCUCACCUCGCAGCCGCAGGCCGCCCUACGUGACCUGGCUCAGAAGCAUGGCCCGGUGAUGUACUGAAGCUGGGGCAGGUGGACACCGUCGUCAUCUCCUCGCCGACGGCGGCGCAGGAGGCGCUCCGGAGAAGGACAGAAGCCUGGCUCGCGGCCGAGCUUGCUCGGCUCGGAGAUCAUCUGCUACGGCAACCGCGACAUCGCCUUCGCGCCCUACGGCGACUACUGGCGCUCGCUGCGCAAGAUGUGCACGGUCGAGCUCCUCAACGCUUCCAAGGUGAGGCGGUUCGCGGCCAUCAGGGACAGCGAGACCAUGUCCCUGGUCAGGGAGAUACGCCGCGCCUGCGCCGCCGCCAGCGGAGAGCCCGUGGACCUCGGCGGCCUGCUCCUGUCGUGCACCAACUCCGUAACCGGAAGGGCAGCGUUCGGCAACCGCUGCAGCAGGGAGCUCACGGCGGAUUUCCUGUCGCCAUCUCCGUGGUGAUAAGCAACAUCUCGGGGCUCUGCGUCUCGGACCUCUUCCCGUCGCUGCGGUUCGUGGACGCCCUCACCGGCACCAAACGCCGCCUGCGGAGGCGCACCAGCGGCUCGAAGACGUGUUUGCCAGGAUCAUCUCUGACGGGAGGCACGGCGGGCGGAAAGGAAGGGGACUGGUGCUGGUGCAGGAGGAGACGACGACGACGACGACCUUCUAAGCGUCAUGCUGAGGAUUCGCGACGAGGGUGAGUUUGAGAUCCCGAUCAACAACACAAACAUCAAGGCAAUCAUCCUGGUAAUACUACAUAACGUUGAAUCGUUGAUACGUAGCGUACUGCCAUGAUAUGAUACAACACGUAACCUGAAUUUUGUCCAGCGCAGGAUUUAUUCACAGGAGGGACGGAGACGACUUCGUCGGUGGCCGAGUGGCUCAUGGCGAGCUGAUGAGGAACCCCGACGCAAUGCACAAGGCGCAAGACGAGGUGCGGCAAGCAUUCGAGCACAGCAGCCCGACGAGCACGAAGCCCAGAUGGACAAGCUGCGCUACACCAAGACGGUGAUCAAGGAGACCCUGAGGCUGUACCCGCCCCUCCCGCUGCUCCUCCCUCGCCAGUGCGAGAGACCUGCGACAUCGGCGGGUUCCAGGUGGCCAAGGGCAGCAGGGUGAUCGUGAACGCAUGGGCGAUCGCGAGGAGCCCGGCGCACUGGGACGACGCCGACAGGUUCAUGCCUGAAAGAUUUGAGCGCGACGAUAGCGCGGCAGGUUAUUCCAGGGCUACUACUGAUGGCACUACACAGUUUGAGUACCUGCCGUUUGGGCACGGGAGGAGGAUUUGCCGGGCAUGGGCUUCGGCUUGUCCACCUUGGAGAUCCUAGUGCGCGGCUCCUCUACUACUUUGACUGGAGCCUUCCGGAAGGAAUGCAGGUGGUGGACCUGGACAUGGACAUGACUGUCGGUGCGUCGGCCAGGA